GAGGCCGAAGCGACACCGCCGCCGGUCCCCGCAAUGCUCCGGACGGCUGCCGGCUCCCGCCGCCUGGGAACGGCCGCGCAGCUCCAUGGAAGCCCUAAUGGCACUUUUGUUUUAGUAAGACCUUAAAUGCCACUAUUAGCGUCUAAUCGGGCUCCUCCGCGAGGGAAACCUGUGAGUUCAGUCCAAAAUGUGCAUCUUUGGGAAAACUCUGGCCAGGGCGAGCAGUGGGAGACCUAUUUGAACCCCCUCACAAGCCCCGUCGAAGCGCUGCGACCAGAAGCCUCGGUGGGGGUCUCAAACUUUGCCUAAACUAUGUGUCAGCUAGCUCUGGAAAUAAAGCAGGAGGGGAAGCCAUCCACUGGAGUUUUUAAAAACA
Long non-coding RNA from Strigops habroptila (Kakapo), 376 nucleotides. RefSeq lists it as uncharacterized. Lineage: Eukaryota; Metazoa; Chordata; Aves; Psittaciformes; Psittacidae. The record is from RefSeq and is a predicted model, not a curated record. The transcript has 2 exons.